UGCUUUCUCUGCGAGGAAUACUCAAAGACCACCAUACCUUGAUCCUCCAUGUGUCAAAAGUCAGCCUAAAGAUUGACUUCUGAGCAUCCAGCACCCUGAAAAGAAGACACGACACAUUUAUUUUUCUGUCUGGAUGUGACACCACGUCAGAGACAGGUUGCUAGCUUUGAGCAGAAAUCUUAUUUCAUCUCUGGCAUGUAUGUGAGGGCUGUUUCUUCUAGGAAUUGAACAGGAUGGUACCGGCUGAGGAAUUAACAAAAGGCAUUAAUGCCAUUUUUGCUGUCUGGAUCGAUGCUGGCAGACGUACAGUUGCCCUACUUGGUAGUUGAAUGGACAGGUGACUGGGUGGAUCACCCUCAAAUCUUUGAACACUGGACCCAGCUUUAAAGUAUGAUUUUUCAUCCUGCUUUCACCACUAAAUCAAUCUGACAGAGAUGAAGGACAGCCCUUUUUGACCCUACGUGCUGGAAGGGAAUCACACAAGCCUCCAAAUGACCACUCAUUUUCUGGGGCAAGGAAUGUGCCGGGGGCUAAAAGCACAAAGGCCAU
Long non-coding RNA from Trichechus manatus latirostris (Florida manatee), 549 nucleotides. RefSeq lists it as uncharacterized. Lineage: Eukaryota; Metazoa; Chordata; Mammalia; Sirenia; Trichechidae. The record is from RefSeq and is a predicted model, not a curated record. The transcript is spliced from 4 exons.